Poecilia latipinna (sailfin molly) is the source of this 845-nucleotide long non-coding RNA. RefSeq lists it as uncharacterized. The transcript has 2 exons. The record is from RefSeq and is a predicted model, not a curated record. Lineage: Eukaryota; Metazoa; Chordata; Actinopteri; Cyprinodontiformes; Poeciliidae.
GAGGAAAGACGAGAGAGGUCAGACGGAAGAACCAAGACAAAAGACUGUCCUGCGUGAAUUGUAUUCAAAACUGCAAUGAUACACAUUUGUUUGUUGAGCAUUAGUAUGUUUCACAGCUGGUUCAUAAUGCAGAGUACAGUGGGUAAAAGACAAAAAAAAAAACAAAAAACAGAAGUUUGAUCCACUCCUGAUGGCGUAAGUCGGUUAAUUUCAAUGAAAUUACGAGUCUUUGCUUCACUCUAUAUGGAGAGAGACGCCACGUCAAGCAACGACUCAAAGGAUGUCGCUUUAAAGCUGCAAAAAUGAUUUGCAUGUCGUCAAAUGAAGUCAGCCGCUGAUUUCCAAGUAAAACUUGACUUGAUGGAGAAACCUUUGUUUUCGCACAUCUCGGAAGUAAUUUUAACCAGAUUUUCUCUACAGAAACUUAGUAAAUCCUUUAGCUUUCUUGGCUGCUUCUUGGUGAUGUAAAAUUUCAACGUUUUCUACUGACUUUUUUCCAUGACCGAGCUAAAACUGCGCUGUGUUGCGACUCUUCUUUACACACUCCCCUGUUACUUGGACAGUGUGUUUUGGGAUGCUAGAAGACCCAUUUAUGUUUGUAGUUAUUGUGGCCACAGCUGCCUACAGAUUGUUAAUAAGCUCUUCCACUGUCUAUGGCCGCUUAUCCUUGAAGGGUUGAUGCCUACCUCCAGUGACCACUGGGUAAGAGGCACAUUCCUUAAUAUUUACUCAAAGUAUUGUUGUAGAAGAAGACAUUGCCGCUUCAUCAAUUAAUUUUUUUUCUUCUUCAGGAAUAGAUCAUUUGAAAUGAUGAUACGUUUUGGGUCAACGUCCUUAUUUUCCUG